ACGGGUGAGUAACACGUGAGCAACCUGCCCUGGACUCUGGGAUAAGCGCUGGAAACGGCGUCUAAUACUGGAUAUGAGACGUGAUCGCAUGGUCGUGUUUGGAAAGAUUUUUCGGUCUGGGAUGGGCUCGCGGCCUAUCAGCUUGUUGGUGAGGUAAUGGCUCACCAAGGCGUCGACGGGUAGCCGGCCUGAGAGGGUGACCGGCCACACUGGGACUGAGACACGGCCCAGACUCCUACGGGAGGCAGCAGUGGGGAAUAUUGCACAAUGGGCGGAAGCCUGAUGCAGCAACGCCGCGUGAGGGAUGACGGCCUUCGGGUUGUAAACCUCUUUUAGCAGGGAAGAAGCGAAAGUGACGGUACCUGCAGAAAAAGCGCCGGCUAACUACGUGCCAGCAGCCGCGGUAAUACGUAGGGCGCAAGCGUUAUCCGGAAUUAUUGGGCGUAAAGAGCUCGUAGGCGGUUUGUCGCGUCUGCUGUGAAAUCCCGAGGCUCAACCUCGGGCCUGCAGUGGGUACGGGCAGACUAGAGUGCGGUAGGGGAGAUUGGAAUUCCUGGUGUAGCGGUGGAAUGCGCAGA
This 578-nucleotide ribosomal RNA is filed under the name uncultured bacterium. RNAcentral describes it as "bacterial SSU rRNA". It matches the Rfam family "Bacterial small subunit ribosomal RNA", at positions 102 to 694 of the family's 1533-position model. The record is from RNAcentral.